This 668-nucleotide long non-coding RNA is filed under the name Monodelphis domestica (gray short-tailed opossum). RNAcentral describes it as "lncRNA (ENSMODG00000036568.1)". Lineage: Eukaryota; Metazoa; Chordata; Mammalia; Didelphimorphia; Didelphidae. The record is from RNAcentral.
GCUAUGUCCAAUUUUAAUGUCAUAAUGUUGGACUGUGUACUGUUUUAAUCUGUCCUAUGAUAACAAUGAAUUAAAGGAGAUGCUGAAGAAGGGGCAUCUAAAGGGAAUCUGUCUCCCCAAGACAGCAAUAGUGAUUCUAGGAGACAGCUUUUGUUGAAUUAUCCAUAUCCUUAACCAUAUAUGUGCAACCCACCAGCUCCAUAGCACAGUCACAGGCAGAGAAACAUUAUGAAAAGGAAUCAGAUUGAGGGGAUGCAGAGGCCCAAAUCAACUACUGCAGUAUGGCUGGCAAUCUCAGAGAGAUGACGACCUGCCAAAUUCCCGACACACAGGCGGAUGUCAGGGGCCACUGAACAGACCACACACUUCUGCUCUGCUCCUGGGGAUGCCUUUGAGAAAGAUUUGCUGGGAAGUGAAUGGCUUGAAUGGAGGAGAAAGGUGAACAUCGCACCCUUAAUUUUGCCAUUGAAUUCACCAGGAAAACAAGAAUGACAAGAGCAAAAGCCAGGACAAAGAAGGCCUGGCCUGCUAUUUGUGACUUAAAACAGUAGCAUGAAACUUUCAUCUUCUCGUAAUCUGUAAAUGAAACCAACGGUGAUAGCUUAUGUCUCUUAAACAAAUCUGCAAAGGUACUUACAACAAGAAAUUAGUCAUGUCUUGAGAAUGGG